CCUACGGGGCGCAGCAGUGAGGAAUAUUGGUCAGUGGACGGAAGUCUGAACCAGCCAUGCCGCGUGCAGGAAGACGGCUCUAUGAGUUGUAAACUGCUUUUGUACCGGGGUAAAAUGCCUUACGAGUAGGGUUUUGAAAGUACGGUACGAAUAAGGAUCGGCUAACUCCGUGCCAGCAGCCGCGGUAAUACGGAGGAUCCGAGCGUUAUCCGGAUUCAUUGGGUUCAAAGGGUGCGUAGGUUGUUUUAUAAGUUAGCGGUGAAAUACCGAUGCUCAACAUCGGGGCUGCCGCUAAUACUGUAGGG
This 305-nucleotide ribosomal RNA is filed under the name uncultured bacterium. RNAcentral describes it as "bacterial SSU rRNA". It matches the Rfam family "Bacterial small subunit ribosomal RNA", at positions 338 to 640 of the family's 1533-position model. The record is from RNAcentral.